CCCUUAGACGUUCUAGGCCGCACGCGCGCUACACUGACCAGUGCAACAAGCAUCCGUCCUUGGCCGACAGGCCCGGGCAAUCUUUGAACGCUGGUCGUGAUGGGGAUAGACUUUUGCAAUUUUUGGUCUUCAACGAGGAAUUCCUAGUAAACGCAAGUCAUCAACUUGCAUUGAUUACGUCCCUGCCCUUUGUACACACCGCCCGUCGCACCUACCGAUUGAAUGGUCCGGUGAAGCCUCCGGAUUGGCGCGCACCUCGGUGCCGCCGAGAAGUUGGCUAAACCUUACCAUUUAGAGGAAGGUGAANUCGUAACA
This 315-nucleotide ribosomal RNA is filed under the name uncultured eukaryote. Its description in RNAcentral is "partial 18S ribosomal RNA". It matches the Rfam family "Eukaryotic small subunit ribosomal RNA", at positions 1470 to 1796 of the family's 1831-position model. The record is from RNAcentral.